GACGAACGCUGGCGGCGUGCUUAACACAUGCAAGUCGAACGCUGAAGCUUGGUGCUUGCACUGGGUGGAUGAGUGGCGAACGGGUGAGUAAUACGUGAGUAACCUGCCCUUGACUCUGGGAUAAGCCUGGGAAACUGGGUCUAAUACUGGAUACGACAUGCCACUGCAUGGUGGUGUGUGGAAAGGGUUUUACUGGUUUUGGAUGGGCUCACGGCCUAUCAGCUUGUUGGUGGGGUAAUGGCCUACCAAGGCGACGACGGGUAGCCGGCCUGAGAGGGUGACCGGCCACACUGGGACUGAGACACGGCCCAGACUCCUACGGGAGGCAGCAGUGGGGAAUAUUGCACAAUGGGCGCAAGCCUGAUGCAGCGACGCCGCGUGAGGGAUGACGGCCUUCGGGUUGUAAACCUCUUUCAGUAGGGAAGAAGCGAAAGUGACGGUACCUGCAGAAGAAGCACCGGCUAACUACGUG
RNAcentral lists this ribosomal RNA (472 nucleotides) under uncultured bacterium. RNAcentral describes it as "partial 16S ribosomal RNA". It matches the Rfam family "Bacterial small subunit ribosomal RNA", at positions 28 to 507 of the family's 1533-position model. The record is from RNAcentral.